Molecule: ribosomal RNA, 418 nt
Filed under: uncultured bacterium
Lineage: Bacteria
Description: bacterial SSU rRNA
Rfam family: Bacterial small subunit ribosomal RNA
Source: RNAcentral
CGAGCGGCGAACGGGUGAGUAAUGUUUCGGUAUCUGCCCAAUGGUGGGGAAUAACCAGCCGAAAGGUUGGCUAAUACCGCAUAAGUCCUACGGGAGAAAGCGGGGGAUCGCAAGACCUCGCGCCGAUGGAUGAGCCGAAACCGGAUUAGCUAGUUGGUAGGGUAACGGCCUACCAAGGCGACGAUCCGUAGCUGGUCUGAGAGGACGACCAGCCACACUGGGACUGAGACACGGCCCAGACUCCUACGGGAGGCAGCAGUGGGGAAUAUUGGACAAUGGGGGAAACCCUGAUCCAGCGACGCCGCGUGUGUGAAGAAGGCCUGCGGGUUGUAAAGCACUUUUAGUGGGGAUGAAAAGCUCAGGGCUAAUACCGCUGAGUCUUGACCUAACCCAAAGAAAAAGCACCGGCUAACUCUGU